RNAcentral lists this ribosomal RNA (710 nucleotides) under uncultured bacterium. RNAcentral's name for it is "bacterial SSU rRNA". It matches the Rfam family "Bacterial small subunit ribosomal RNA", at positions 94 to 823 of the family's 1533-position model. The record is from RNAcentral.
AGCGGCGGACGGGUGAGUAACGCGUGGGCAACCUGCCCUAUACACACGGAUAACAUACCGAAAGGUAUGCUAAUACGAGAUAAUACAAGAGAUUCACAUGGAUUUCUUAUCAAAGCUGAGGCGGUAUAGGAUGGACCCGCGUCUGAUUAGCUAGUUGGUAAGGUAACGGCUUACCAAGGCGACGAUCAGUAGCCGACCUGAGAGGGUGAUCGGCCACAUUGGAACUGAGACACGGUCCAAACUCCUACGGGAGGCAGCAGUGGGGAAUAUUGCACAAUGGGCGAAAGCCUGAUGCAGCAACGCCGCGUGAGUGAUGAAGGCCUUCGGGUCGUAAAACUCUGUCCUCAAGGAAGAUAAUGACGGUACUUGAGGAGGAAGCCCCGGCUAACUACGUGCCAGCAGCCGCGGUAAUACGUAGGGGGCUAGCGUUAUCCGGAUUUACUGGGCGUAAAGGGUGCGUAGGUGGUCUCUUAAGUCAGGAGUGAAAGGCUACGGCUUAACCGUAGUAAGCUCUUGAAACUGGGAGACUUGAGUGCAGGAGAGGAAAGUGGAAUUCCUAGUGUAGCGGUGAAAUGCGUAGAUAUUAGGAGGAACACCAGUAGCGAAGGCGGCUUUCUGGACUGUAACUGACACUGAGGCACGAAAGCGUGGGGAGCAAACAGGAUUAGAUACCCUGGUAGUCCACGCCGUAAACGAUGAGUACUAGGUGU